AAUAAGCAUGGGAUAAGUUUCCAUGUCCAACUUUAACAUCUGUCUUAUUUUAAAAAAAAUUUAUGAUUAGUAUUUUUAUUGUUAUCAUAAUAUAAAACAUGAGUAGUAAUUUAUAUGUGACUUAGAAAAAGAUUAAAGUUAGAUACGGACACUCAUGGUUUCACUUAUU
Molecule: microRNA precursor, 169 nt
Filed under: Oryza glumipatula
Lineage: Eukaryota; Viridiplantae; Streptophyta; Magnoliopsida; Poales; Poaceae
Description: MIR812 microRNA precursor family
Rfam family: MIR812 microRNA precursor family
Source: Rfam by way of RNAcentral